Gadus morhua (Atlantic cod) is the source of this 575-nucleotide long non-coding RNA. RefSeq lists it as uncharacterized. NCBI's taxonomy places the organism in Eukaryota, Metazoa, Chordata, Actinopteri, Gadiformes, Gadidae. The transcript has 2 exons. The record is from RefSeq and is a predicted model, not a curated record.
CUAGGUCAGAGAGUUCCUUACUACCAUGAUGCCCCACAAACUCACGAAGUAAGACCAGGUCAGAGAGUUCCUUACUACCAUGAUGCCCCACAAACUCACAAAGUAAGACUAGGUCAGAGAGUUCCUUACUACCAUGAUGCCCCACAAUUCACAAAUUAAGACUAGGUCAGAGAGUUCCUUACUACCAUGAUGCCCCACAAACUCACAAAGUAAGACUAGGUCAGAGAGUUCCUUACUACCAUGAUGCCCCACAAACUCACAAAGUAAGACUAGGUCAGAGAGUUCCUUACUACCAUGAUGCCCCACAAACUCACAAAGUAAGACUAGGUCAGAGAGUUCCUUACUACCAUGAUGCCCCACAAACUCACAAAGUAAGACUAGGUCAGAGAGUUCCUUACUACCAUGAUGCCCCACAAACUCACAAAGUAAGACUAGGUCAGAGAGUUCCUUACUACCAUGAUGCCCCACAAACUCACAAAGUAAGACUAGGUGUCUAUGACGUUGCCUGAAAACUAAAUAUCAAACGAAAUUGUAAAACAAUCCUGGACAUUUUGAAAAGAAAUAUUUGUAUUGUU